GACGAACGCUGGCGGCGUGCUUAACACAUGCAAGCCGAACGGAAAGGCCCUGCUUUUGUGGGGUGCUCGAGUGGCGAACGGGUGAGUAACACGUGAGUAACCUGCCCUUGACUUUGGGAUAACUUCAGGAAACUGGGGCUAAUACCGGAUAGGAGCUCCUGCUGCAUGGUGGGGGUUGGAAAGUUUCGGCGGUUGGGGAUGGACUCGCGGCUUAUCAGCUUGUUGGUGGGGUAGUGGCUUACCAAGGCUUUGACGGGUAGCCGGCCUGAGAGGGUGACCGGCCACAUUGGGACUGAGCUACGGCCCAGACUCCUACGGGAGGCAGCAGUGGGGAAUAUUGCACAAUGGGCGGAAGCCUGAUGCAGCAACGCCGCGUGCGGGAUGACGGCCUUCGGGUUGUAAACCGCUUUCGCCUGUGACGAAGCGUGAGUGACGGUAAUGGGUAAAGAAGCACCGGCUAACUACGUG
RNAcentral lists this ribosomal RNA (468 nucleotides) under uncultured bacterium. Its description in RNAcentral is "partial 16S ribosomal RNA". It matches the Rfam family "Bacterial small subunit ribosomal RNA", at positions 28 to 507 of the family's 1533-position model. The record is from RNAcentral.